UGCAGACAGGAUUCCUUCUAAGACCAAGCCUUUUUUUUUUUUUUUUAAAUUCUCACUUGUGAACACUAAAAGUCUAUUUUUUAAAACAAAACAAAAAAAAAUGCUCUUUUAGCUUUCUCUUUCUUUCUUUCUUUCUUUCUUUCUUUCUUUCUUUCUUUCUUUCUUUCUUUCUGUCUUUCUUUCUAAGACGGAGUCUCUCGUGAUGCAGGCAUGAGUGUAGUGGCGUGAUCUCGGCUCACUGCAACCUCCACCUCUCAGGUUCAAGCGAUUCUCCUGCCUCAGCCUCCUGGGUAGCUGGGACUACAGACAAGGGUUCACUCCUGUCGCCCAGAUGGGAGUACAGUGGUGUGAUCUCAACUCACCGCAGCCACCAGGUGAUCCUCCCACCUCAGCCUCCUGAGCAGCUAGGACU
This 412-nucleotide long non-coding RNA is filed under the name Papio anubis (olive baboon). Its description in RNAcentral is "lncRNA (ENSPANG00000041916.1)". The record is from RNAcentral. Lineage: Eukaryota; Metazoa; Chordata; Mammalia; Primates; Cercopithecidae.